CAAAAAAUAGUUUAAAUAAAACAUUAAUUUUGGAGAUUAAUAAUAUAAUUAUUUAUUUUUUUGA
RNAcentral lists this transfer RNA (64 nucleotides) under Diapriidae sp. ZJUH_2016010. RNAcentral describes it as "tRNA-Pro". The record is from RNAcentral. Lineage: Eukaryota; Metazoa; Arthropoda; Insecta; Hymenoptera; Diapriidae.